CAUGCAAGUCGAACGAGAAUCUACUGAAAGAGUUUUCGGACAAUGGAUGUAGAGGAAAGUGGCGGACGGGUGAGUAACGCGUGAGGAACCUGCCUUGAAGAGGGGGACAACAGUUGGAAACGACUGCUAAUACCGCAUGACGCAUAGAGGUCGCAUGAUCUUUAUGCCAAAGAUUUAUCGCUUCAAGAUGGCCUCGCGUCUGAUUAGCUAGUUGGCGGGGUAACGGCCCACCAAGGCGACGAUCAGUAGCCGGACUGAGAGGUUGAACGGCCACAUUGGGACUGAGAUACGGCCCAGACUCCUACGGGAGGCAGCAGUGGGGAAUAUUGGGCAAUGGGCGCAAGCCUGACCCAGCAACGCCGCGUGAAGGAAGAAGGCUUUCGGGUUGUAAACUUCUUUUAAGAGGGAAGAGCAGAAGACGGUACCUCUAGAAUAAGCCACGGCUAACUACGUGCCAGCAGCCGCGGUAAUACGUAGGUGGCAAGCGUUGUCCGGAUUUACUGGGUGUAAAGGGCGUGCAGCCGGGUCUGCAAGUCAGAUGUGAAAUCCAUGGGCUCAACCCAUGAACUGCAUUUGAAACUGUAGAUCUUGAGUGUCGGAGGGGCAAUCGGAAUUCCUAGCGUAGCGGUGAAAUGCGUAGAUAUUAGGAGGAACACCAGUGGCGAAGGCGGAUUGCUGGACGAUAACUGACGGUGAGGCGCGAAAGUGUGGGGAGCAAACAGGAUUAGAUACCCUGGUAGUCCACACUGUAAACGAUGAAUACUAGGUGUGCGGGGACUGACCCCUUGCGUGCCGCAGUAAACACAAUAAGUAUUCCACCUGGGGAGUACGAUCGCAAGG
RNAcentral lists this ribosomal RNA (840 nucleotides) under uncultured bacterium. Its description in RNAcentral is "bacterial SSU rRNA". It matches the Rfam family "Bacterial small subunit ribosomal RNA", at positions 54 to 893 of the family's 1533-position model. The record is from RNAcentral.